UACGUAGGCCGCAAGCGUUGUUCGGAGUUACUGGGCGUAAAGGGUGUGUAGGCGGUCCCUUAAGUUUGUUGUGAAAUCUCCCGGCUCAACUGGGAGGGUGCGGCGAAUACUGAGGGGCUAGAGUGCGGGAGAGGAAAGUGGAAUUCCUGGUGUAGCGGUGAAAUGCGUAGAUAUCAGGAGGAACACCGGUGGUGUAAACGGCUUUCUGGACCGCAACUGACGCUGAGACACGAAAGCGUGGGUAGCAAACAGG
RNAcentral lists this ribosomal RNA (253 nucleotides) under uncultured bacterium. Its description in RNAcentral is "partial 16S ribosomal RNA". It matches the Rfam family "Bacterial small subunit ribosomal RNA", at positions 524 to 776 of the family's 1533-position model. The record is from RNAcentral.